This 1480-nucleotide ribosomal RNA is filed under the name Lactiplantibacillus plantarum. RNAcentral's name for it is "bacterial SSU rRNA". It matches the Rfam family "Bacterial small subunit ribosomal RNA". Lineage: Bacteria; Bacillati; Bacillota; Bacilli; Lactobacillales; Lactobacillaceae. The record is from RNAcentral.
GAACGCUGGCGGCGUGCCUAAUACAUGCAAGUCGAACGAACUCUGGUAUUGAUUGGUGCUUGCAUCAUGAUUUACAUUUGAGUGAGUGGCGAACUGGUGAGUAACACGUGGGAAACCUGCCCAGAAGCGGGGGAUAACACCUGGAAACAGAUGCUAAUACCGCAUAACAACUUGGACCGCAUGGUCCGAGUUUGAAAGAUGGCUUCGGCUAUCACUUUUGGAUGGUCCCGCGGCGUAUUAGCUAGAUGGUGGGGUAACGGCUCACCAUGGCAAUGAUACGUAGCCGACCUGAGAGGGUAAUCGGCCACAUUGGGACUGAGACACGGCCCAAACUCCUACGGGAGGCAGCAGUAGGGAAUCUUCCACAAUGGACGAAAGUCUGAUGGAGCAACGCCGCGUGAGUGAAGAAGGGUUUCGGCUCGUAAAACUCUGUUGUUAAAGAAGAACAUAUCUGAGAGUAACUGUUCAGGUAUUGACGGUAUUUAACCAGAAAGCCACGGCUAACUACGUGCCAGCAGCCGCGGUAAUACGUAGGUGGCAAGCGUUGUCCGGAUUUAUUGGGCGUAAAGCGAGCGCAGGCGGUUUUUUAAGUCUGAUGUGAAAGCCUUCGGCUCAACCGAAGAAGUGCAUCGGAAACUGGGAAACUUGAGUGCAGAAGAGGACAGUGGAACUCCAUGUGUAGCGGUGAAAUGCGUAGAUAUAUGGAAGAACACCAGUGGCGAAGGCGGCUGUCUGGUCUGUAACUGACGCUGAGGCUCGAAAGUAUGGGUAGCAAACAGGAUUAGAUACCCUGGUAGUCCAUACCGUAAACGAUGAAUGCUAAGUGUUGGAGGGUUUCCGCCCUUCAGUGCUGCAGCUAACGCAUUAAGCAUUCCGCCUGGGGAGUACGGCCGCAAGGCUGAAACUCAAAGGAAUUGACGGGGGCCCGCACAAGCGGUGGAGCAUGUGGUUUAAUUCGAAGCUACGCGAAGAACCUUACCAGGUCUUGACAUACUAUGCAAAUCUAAGAGAUUAGACGUUCCCUUCGGGGACAUGGAUACAGGUGGUGCAUGGUUGUCGUCAGCUCGUGUCGUGAGAUGUUGGGUUAAGUCCCGCAACGAGCGCAACCCUUAUUAUCAGUUGCCAGCAUUAAGUUGGGCACUCUGGUGAGACUGCCGGUGACAAACCGGAGGAAGGUGGGGAUGACGUCAAAUCAUCAUGCCCCUUAUGACCUGGGCUACACACGUGCUACAAUGGAUGGUACAACGAGUUGCGAACUCGCGAGAGUAAGCUAAUCUCUUAAAGCCAUUCUCAGUUCGGAUUGUAGGCUGCAACUCGCCUACAUGAAGUCGGAAUCGCUAGUAAUCGCGGAUCAGCAUGCCGCGGUGAAUACGUUCCCGGGCCUUGUACACACCGCCCGUCACACCAUGAGAGUUUGUAACACCCAAAGUCGGUGGGGUAACCUUUUAGGAACCAGCCGCCUAAGGUGGGACAGAUGAUU